RNAcentral lists this ribosomal RNA (2937 nucleotides) under Candidatus Magasanikbacteria bacterium CG10_big_fil_rev_8_21_14_0_10_36_32. Its description in RNAcentral is "bacterial LSU rRNA". It matches the Rfam family "Bacterial large subunit ribosomal RNA". The record is from RNAcentral. Lineage: Bacteria; Candidatus Magasanikiibacteriota.
UGUGCGCAAUUUCAUAAGAGCGCACGGUGGAUGCCUUGACAUUAAAAGACGAUGAAGGACGUGGCAGGGUGCGAUAAGCUUCGGUGAGGUCCCAAGCAACCUAUGACCCGGAGAUUUCCGAAUGGGGUAACCCGGUUCCGAUUUAUCGGAAUCAUCAUACGCUGAAUACAUAGGCGCAUGAAGAAGACCUGGUGAAGUGAAACAUCUCAGUAACCAGAGGAAUAGAAAUCGAAGAGAUUCCCUUAGUAGUGGCGAGCGAAAAGGGAAAAGUUCAAAUCGCAUAAAUGUUUUUGUAAAUACUGGAUGAUCUUCGGAUUAAUCUUGAUUUACAGAAUAAAGGACAGGCCGUUGUUUAUGCGAGGUUGUAAGACAUUAAUGCCGGUUACCUGUAAGACCGGGUGAACAGUUGGUUCUUAGCUAAAUCGUUCUGGAAAGAACAACCAAAGUGGGUAAUAGUCCCGUAGGCGAAAAGAAGCGAUUUGUUCAUAGUUAAUGUUCUUGAGUAGGGCGGAACUCGUGAAAUUCCGUCUGAACCCGGGCCGACUAUGGUCCAAAACUAAAUACUUUUAAUGAUCGAUAGUGGACAAGUACCACGAGGGAAAGGUGAAAAGCAGCCCGGUGAGGGCGAUGAAAUAGUAUCUGAAACCGUGUGUUUACAAAGAGCGGAAGUCUUGGGUAUCGCAAGAUAUCGGACGACCGUGUUCCUAUUGAAGAAUGAGCCUGCGAGUGUGUGUGUGUCGCGUGCUUAAACCCUUCUGGGGUGGAGGCGUAGCGAAAGCGAGUCUUAACGGGCGAUAAGUGGCACGUACACGACCCGAAACCGGGUGAGCUAUUCAUGGCCAGGAUGAGUCCCGCCGAAAGGCGGGAGGAGGUCCGAACCCACCAGCUGUGCAAAACUGGGGGAUGAGCUGUGAAUGGGAGAGAAAUUCUAAUCGAACUCGGUGAUAGCUGGUUCUCCUCGAAAUAGCUCUAGGGCUAGCCUCGAGUGAUCCUAUCGGCGGUAGAGCACUGGAUGAGAUCCGGGUCCUUCGGGAUACCGUUCUCAAUCAAACUCCGAAUGCCGGUAAUUAUAACUCGGGAGUCAGACAGUGACGGCUAAGCGCCAUUGUCAAAAGGGAAACAGCCCAGAUCGCCGUCUAAGGCCCCUAAAUCCAUGUUAAGUGUCAAAGGUGGUUCUAAUUCUUAAACAACCAGGAGGUUAGCUUAGAAGCAGCUAUCCUUUAAAGAAAGCGUAACAGCUCACUGGUCAAGAGUUUUAGCGCCGAAAAUGUACCGGGGCUCAAACAUGGUGCCGAAGACGCGAAUUGUCGGAAGGAACUUUGGUUUUAAAUUUUAAGUGAACAUUUCUCAAAAAAUUUAUUAUAUAAAUUUUUUGCAAAUGAUUAAGUGAAAAGGUGGUGUGGUGGCAGUAACUUAAUUAUAAGAAAGAUGUUUGGCGAAAAAAUUGAAAACAAAGUUUCUUCCGGCAUUGGUAGAGGAGCGUUCCCAAUACGCCGAAGCCGUAGGCGUGAGCCGCGGUGGAGAAUUGGGAAGUGAGAAUGCAGGCAUAAGUAGCAAAAAGGCAGGUGAGAAUCCUGCCCGCCGCAAACCCGAGGUUUCCUGGGCAACGAGAAUCGUCCCAGGGUUAGUCGAUCCUAAGGCGAGGCCGAAAGGCGUAGUCGAUGGAAGAGCAGGUUAAUAUUCCUGCACUUCACACAAUUUGGUUAUCGUUGCACAUUUUCAAGCUUUAAGCGUGUUUUGAAUACACACGUUUCGCAAGAUGAAGACAAAGCCUUCGGGCGGAGUCAACUUAAGGGGAGGAGGUGUCUAGAAAAGGCGAAUAGCCGUUAAGUUGUGUGAAAUCGUACCGUAAACCGACACAGGUGGGUGAGUCGAGUAGACUAAGGCGUACGAGAGAACCUUCGUUAAGGAACUAGGCAAUAUAGCGGCCGUAACUUAGGGAUAAGGCCCGCCCCGCAUCUGCGGGGCUUCAACAAAAGACGCACUGCGACUGUUUAACAAAAACACAGCUCCCUGCAAAAGCGUAAGCUGAAGUAUAGGGGGUGAUGCCUGGCCAGUGUCAGAACGUUAAGGGGAGAGGUGAAAGCCUUGAUCCGAAGCGCUGAUGAACGCCGGCGGUAACUAUAACCGUCCUAAGGUAGCGAAAUUCCUUGUCGGGUGAGUUCCGACCUGCACGAAUGGCAUAACGAUGGUGCGACUGUCUCAACGAAGGACUCGGUGAAAUUGCAAGGGAGGUGAAGAUGCCCCCUACCCGCAACUAGACGAAAAGACCCCGUGAAGCUUUACUAUAACUUGAUAUUGACAUAAGGUUAGGUAUGUUCAGCGUAGGUGGGAGCCUUCGGGCGCCAAUGAGACACCACCCUUACCUAAUUUUAUGCCUAAUUUUCUCCCUUGAAUCAGGGAGAGAAGACAGUGUCUGGUGGGUAGUUUAACUGGGGCGGUUGCCUCCUAAAAUGUAACGGAGGCGUUUACAAAGGUCAGCUUAGCUCGGAUGGAAACCGAGUUGGACGCGCAAACGCACAAGCUGGCUUUACUGCAAGGACUACAAUCCGAGCAGUCGCGAAAGCGGAAGUUAGUGAACCGACCAUCCUAUAUAGGAAGGUGGAAGAUCAACGGAUAAAAGCUACUCCGGGGAUAACAGGCUGAUCGCGCCCAAUAGUCCACAUAGACGGCGCGGNNNNNNNNNNNNNNNNNNNNNNNNNNNNNNNNNCGAGAGGACCGGAGUGUACGAACCUCUAGUGUACCAGUUGUUCCAUCAGGGGCACCGCUGGGUAGCUAUGUUCGGUACGGAUAAAUGCUGAAAGCAUAUAAGCGUGAAGCCGUCUUCAAGAUUAACAUUCGUUAUAGACCCCUUAUAGAUUAUGAGGUUGAUAGGCACUAGGUGUAAGUUCCGUUAAGGAAUUGAGCCGAGGUGUACUAAUCGGUUAAGCGCAUGAC